Molecule: ribosomal RNA, 490 nt
Filed under: uncultured bacterium
Lineage: Bacteria
Description: partial 16S ribosomal RNA
Rfam family: Bacterial small subunit ribosomal RNA
Source: RNAcentral
GAUGAACGCUAGCUACAGGCUUAACACAUGCAAGUCGAGGGGCAUCAUGGUCUUAGCUUGCUAAGGCCGAUGGCGACCGGCGCACGGGUGAGUAACACGUAUCCAACCUGCCGUCUACUCUUGGACAGCCUUCUGAAAGGAAGAUUAAUACAAGAUGGCAUCAUGAGUCCGCAUGUUCACAUGAUUAAAGGUAUUCCGGUAGACGAUGGGGAUGCGUUCCAUUAGAUAGUAGGCGGGGUAACGGCCCACCUAGUCUUCGAUGGAUAGGGGUUCUGAGAGGAAGGUCCCCCACAUUGGAACUGAGACACGGUCCAAACUCCUACGGGAGGCAGCAGUGAGGAAUAUUGGUCAAUGGGCGCAGGCCUGAACCAGCCAAGUAGCGUGAAGGAUGACUGCCCUAUGGGUUGUAAACUUCUUUUAUAAAGGAAUAAAGUCGGGUAUGUAUACCCGUUUGCAUGUACUUUAUGAAUAAGGAUCGGCUAACUCCGUG